This 465-nucleotide ribosomal RNA is filed under the name uncultured bacterium. RNAcentral describes it as "partial 16S ribosomal RNA". It matches the Rfam family "Bacterial small subunit ribosomal RNA", at positions 338 to 795 of the family's 1533-position model. The record is from RNAcentral.
CCUACGGGCGGCAGCAGUGGGGAAUAUUGCGCAAUGGGCGAAAGCCUGACGCAGCGACGCCGCGUGAGGGAUGAAGGUCUUCGGAUCGUAAAACUCUGUCAGCAGGGAAGAACGGUCACUGUGCUAAUCAGCAGUGAAUUGACGGUACCUACCAAGGAAGCAACGGCUAACUCCGUGCCAGCAGCCGCGGUAAUACGGAGGGGGCGAGCGUUAACCGGAAUUAAUGGGCGUAAAGCGCUCGUAGGCGGUAUGUCAAGUCAAGGGUGAAAGCCCCCCGCUCAACGUGGGAGGUGCCUUGGAAACUGGCAAACUGGAGUGUGUAAGAGGAUAGUGGAAUUCCAGGUGUAGGAGUGAAAUCCGUAGAUAUCUGGAGGAACAUCAGUGGCGAAGGCGACUAUCUGGCACAUAACUGACGCUGAGGAGCGAAAGCGUGGGUAGCAAACAGGAUUAGAUACCCGAGUAGUC